RNAcentral lists this ribosomal RNA (804 nucleotides) under uncultured bacterium. RNAcentral's name for it is "bacterial SSU rRNA". It matches the Rfam family "Bacterial small subunit ribosomal RNA", at positions 8 to 810 of the family's 1533-position model. The record is from RNAcentral.
AGAGGUUGAUUCUGGCUCAGGAUGAACGCUGGCGGCGUGCUUAACACAUGCAAGUCGAACGGGGAUUAUUUUGACAGAGACUUCGGUUGAAGUCGUUAUAAUCCUAGUGGCGGACGGGUGAGUAACGCGUGGGUAACCUGCCUCACACUGGGGGAUAACAGUUAGAAAUGACUGCUAAUACCGCAUAAGACCACAGCACCGCAUGGUGCGGGGGUAAAAACUCCGGUGGUAUGAGAUGGACCCGCGUCUGAUUAGCUAGUUGGUAAGGUAAGGGCUUACCAAGGCGACGAUCAGUAGCCGACCUGAGAGGGUGACCGGCCACAUUGGGACUGAGACACGGCCCAAACUCCUACGGGAGGCAGCAGUGGGGAAUAUUGCACAAUGGGGGGAAACCCUGAUGCAGCGACGCCGCGUGAGUGAUGAAGUAUUUCGGUAUGUAAAGCUCUAUCAGCAGGGAAGAAAAUGACGGUACCUGACUAAGAAGCACCGGCUAAAUACGUGCCAGCAGCCGCGGUAAUACGUAUGGUGCAAGCGUUAUCCGGAUUUACUGGGUGUAAAGGGAGCGUAGACGGAGAGGCAAGUCUGAUGUGAAAACCCGGGGCUCAACCCCGGGACUGCAUUGGAAACUGUUUUUCUAGAGUGUCGGAGAGGCAAGUGGAAUUCCUAGUGUAGCGGUGAAAUGCGUAGAUAUUAGGAGGAACACCAGUGGCGAAGGCGGCUUGCUGGACGAUGACUGACGUUGAGGCUCGAAAGCGUGGGGAGCAAACAGGAUUAGAUACCCUGGUAGUCCACGCCGUAAACGAU